This 237-nucleotide non-coding RNA is filed under the name Lysinibacillus xylanilyticus. Its description in RNAcentral is "T-box sequence". It matches the Rfam family "T-box leader". From Rfam's summary of the family: Uncharged tRNA acts as the effector for transcription antitermination of genes in the T-box leader family. T-boxes are found upstream of many aminoacyl-tRNA synthetase genes and some amino acid biosynthetic genes usually in Gram-positive bacteria. The record is from RNAcentral. Lineage: Bacteria; Bacillati; Bacillota; Bacilli; Caryophanales; Bacillaceae.
UUGUAGGCCAAGAUUGGAAAUAGUAGAAAUGCAAGUGUACUUGUAGAGAGUCGGUGGUUGGUGUAAACCGAUAGGCACACAUUUUGAACUCGUCCAUGAGCCACUCCCUGAAUUUUGAGUAAGGGACGUCGGUUUCCUCCGUUAACGGGAUAGACAGUGACAGCUGUCGAUAAGGGGACUUUUUCUGUAAAGAGAAGGUCAAUUAGAGUGGUACCGCGAGCAUAACUCGUCUCUAUA